This 207-nucleotide ribosomal RNA is filed under the name uncultured bacterium. Its description in RNAcentral is "partial 16S ribosomal RNA". It matches the Rfam family "Bacterial small subunit ribosomal RNA", at positions 568 to 774 of the family's 1533-position model. The record is from RNAcentral.
CGUGUAGGCGGGAAGGAAAGUCAGAUGUGAAAUCCCUGGGCUCAACCCAGGAACUGCAUUUGAAACUCCCUUUCUUGAGUGUCGGAGAGGAAAGUGGAAUUCCUGGUGUAGAGGUGAAAUUCGUAGAUAUCAGGAGGAACACCGGUGGCGAAGGCGGCUUUCCGGACGACAACUGACGCUGAGACGCGAAAGCGUGGGGAGCAAACA